UACGUAGGGGGCAAGCGUUACCCGGAUUUACUGGGCGUAAAGAGCGCGUAGGCGGCUCAACAAGUCUCCUGUGAAAUCUUCUGGCUUAACUGGAAGAGGUCAGGGGAUACUGUUGGGCUUGAGGGCAGCAGAGGAAGACGGAAUUCCCGGUGUAGCGGUGAAAUGCGUAGAUAUCGGGAGGAACAUCAGUGGCGAAGGCGGCUACCUGGCCCAAUACUGACACUCAGGUGCGACAGCGUGGGGAGCAAACAGG
Molecule: ribosomal RNA, 253 nt
Filed under: uncultured bacterium
Lineage: Bacteria
Description: partial 16S ribosomal RNA
Rfam family: Bacterial small subunit ribosomal RNA
Source: RNAcentral